GUUUACAGGUGACUCCGGAGGCCUCCCGCAAUGUAACGCGGCAAGAGCAGACCCCUUCCACACAACAUGCUUGCAACUUUUGUUUGUACGAAGCAAAGACUGUCUGCCAGCUCCUAAUAACGUCUGCACUCCAGGGACGCUCUGCGGGAUUUCUUGCUCUAGAAGCGGUCCCAGUCGAUGACAUAUUUGAAGCAAGUGAUCAGGUGCCAAGUGUCGGUAGUAUUUCACCAGGUUCUGGUAGCUGCGCGGGUGCUCCUUGCCCGUCCAGUCCGUGCGCUUGGGCAGCAGCUCUUUCUCCGCCACUUCUCGGAUCAGGACCUGAGCCGCUUGCUGGCAGGGCCCGUCCUCCAGAAAGCGGGCGAUGAGGAAGUAGAGCUCCGCUCGCAGCUCCGCCGUGUGCCUGCUGCCGCCGUCCCCGGACAUGGCGAGGGGAAAGCGGGAGGUGCGGGGGGCCGCGCCUGUCACCGCCGGCUCCGCGGGCAGCGCCUCGGCUCCGGCAUUCGCCCCGCGGGCAGCGCGGCGGCGGGAGGAGGAAACAACAACUCGCGGCCGCCCGCAACGCCGCCGCCACCGCCAGCCGCCGCCAGCGCGAUCCCUCCGCCCGGAGAAAGAGUCCCUUCCUCCUCCGCUCCGCGCCCCCCGCCUCAGCCCCGCCGCCCGCAGCGCAGCGCCCCUCCCCCCGCGUCCCCGGACGCAGCCGCCGCCGCCGCCGCCCGGGCGGGGAAGGAGCGCCGGGGAGGGAGGGCGGGCGGCCCGCGGCUCCCGCCCCGCCGCGCCGACACCGAGGGGAGCGCGUUGACUGGCGGGCCGGUCGGCUCGCGCGGGGAGAAGAUGUCGGAGCGGCGGAGGCGGGGCGGGCGGGAUGAGGCCGCUUUCUCUGCGCCGAGCGGGCGGGCGGCCGGAGCGCGGAGGGAUACGGCGCGCGGCGGCGGGAGGCGGGGCCGCGCGGGCGGCGGGAGCCGGGAAGUGGCCGAGCGGAGUGGCGCAGCGCGGAGCGGAGCGGGCAGAGCGCCCCCGGGCAGCGCGGCCCCGGCGGGGGGCGGGCGGCACCGCGACCCUCCUCCUUCUCCGCCGCCGCCUCCUUCUCCUCCUCCUGCUGCCGUUGCUGCUGCCCGCGAGGCCUCGGGGCGCCGCCGCCAGAGCGAUCGUGGCGCCUCGAUUCGCCGCCCGGCCGCGGACGCGCCGUGAGGAAAGCACAGUUAUGUACGGCACCAACCUACACGACGAGGAAGAGGGGAUUUGUAACAGUUCAAGAGUCUGAAAGCAGAUGAAAACCGCCGUGGAUAUACUGAGCUUCCCCGUUCGGCAGCGCCUCGUAACUUUCCUUGGUGCGCUUCAAAAUACAGCCACAGAAUCAAAAUGUUUUGAUGCUGAAAUAAAGGUUUUGUCUUUUAUUGAAUGUUUUAGAGCGCCUCCCAAAAUGGAAUCCAUUCCCUGGCUCAGGCCCGACCAGCAGCAGUACUACAGACAGCACUUAAUGAGAGCUCUCACAAACGCACACCCCGCUUCUCCUUACUGCUGAGAUCUGAUUUUUUCCUUGCUUAUCUGUGGCUUAACACGAAGCCCCGCUGGCCACAAGAGAAGAUGCGGGUUUGUUGCUGUUUGGUGAGACGUGCUCAAGCCGGUUGUAAGAAUUCCUGCAGCAGCAAUAAAUGCUCCAUUAAUUUGGGGGGAAUUCAGGGGAUUUUUAUUUUUUUGCCUAUUGCAAUUCAGCAGAGGAUGUUUUUGUUACAUGGAGAAAAAUACGCCCAGCUCGGAUUUUUAUAGUCUGUAGUGCUGUGCUUUCAAAUAAUUCCCCCUCUUCCGUGUGAUUUGUCACCUUGCAUUAUCCUGAAGUACAAACGCAUUGCUGCUGUUUCAUCACUGAGAUUUAAUGUUUUUUAUGAGACGUUUUCACUCUGAAAAAAAACCAUAAAUCUCUAUUUAAGGGAAGAAAAAAGGAAUUAUUUUCUUUCUUUGGGUAUAAUAACCAUUUGAGUAAAAAAACGAAAAUCUCAGAUUACUUUAAUCUGGUAAUUUGGUUGUUCUAACGCCGGUAGCACUGCGUAUUCUUUUUGCAGAUACGAAGGGUCUCACAGCACUUUGUGACUUUCAGAUGGGAAUGCUCGUGUGCGUUCACUGAAAUCAUGUUGUUAAUAGAAAGAUUACUAGAAUUUGCUGCUAAUAAAGCUGAGACAUAGAACUGAGUCAAUUAUGAAGUGCUCCAAAGGUUUUUACAUUUCCCCUGCUUGCUGCCGUGGCCUGCUUUCUUCCUUAUUAUUUUUAUUUUCAAUCUCCCUGUUUUUCCCUUCUUCAGUAAGUGUAAAUAUCCGAAUACAGAUCUAUUAGAGCGAAUGUCCUUCGAUCACUGUUUGCUUUUAGGAAAUACGACUGUAGUAUCUUUGAUUUCUCCUUGAUUUUUGUGUAGGGUUUUUUUGUUUGUUUGUUUGUUAUUGUUUUUAAUUCGUUUUCUUUCCCCAUAUUGGUUUGCUGGUGUAGUUUAACAAUGCUGUAACCAGAAAGCGCGCUGCUUGCUGGCUGCGGCUCUCGAUGUGAAAGGCUUUCUGUUUCUUGUGAAAUCUGGGCUUUUCUUUAUAGACAAAGGGAAGUAUUUAUGGUUUGUAAAUCGCCAAGCCGGACAAUGUAGCUAAAUAUUUGAAGCACAAUAUUGGGGGCUGGGGGGCUGAGAACAACGUAAAGCAUUAACCGAGCUUCCUUGGUUGAUUUGUUUUGUUUCAUUUUCCCCCUCCUCCCCCCUCUCAAUGGGAAUGAUCACCACCAGUUGCUCAUCUUUUUUUGUGAGUGUUGGUUCUUACUCUUGAAGCCAAGCGUUAAUUUUUCAAGGGUGAGAAGAGAGGGAUGUUACUAUGGAGCCAGCCAACUUUUUGUUUCAUUGUUACCGUCUAUAUUCUCUAUCUGCAGAAAGAACCGACUGUGCCAAAAUACAAUACUACCGUGAGUAAAUGCCUCCUGCGCUUUUAAAUAAUAACCUACGAUUCAACAAAACAGCUUCACAUCACAAUGGUAUUAAAUACUCGCUUGUUUACGCCUCGUACCUGAAAUGCAUCCUCUCUGCACACUGCAUUGGUGACCCUACUGAGCCUGCCACUGGAGAGCUCCUUACGGCUGGUGUAGCUGGUGUCACCUGCCCAUACCAGGCACCAAAUUCCAAGCUGUGUGCUUCAAUCCCGGGCCUUUCUUUACAUUUUUCAGUGCACCCUUUGGUACAGAAUGCAGAUGUCUUCCCACUCAGCCCAAAAUAAACCACUUCUCCUUUUGCUUUCUUCUCAUGAUGGUGGAAAGCAGUGUAGAAUUAGAAAUCUAUACUACUCAAAGUACCACCAGCAUUGGCAAGUUCAUGUUUUAUAAAAGUAUGAGGAUCGGUUCACCUCUAAUAUGCUUAUUAGCAAUCUUCCACAGGCAGAAGAGCUAAAUCCAAGUCACUUAUAAAAGUGGCACUGUGUUUUUUUUACGCGGCAUUUGUGUGUACAAAAUAAGCAAUAAAUUAUAAACUAUACAAUCAAGCUUCUGAAGUUAGCUCUAUCCGCUAUUUGUAUUUUCAGUAGUAAAUGAGUCUGGCUGAAAUUCAUUCUCUGCAGCCCACUGUUACCCAAGUACAUAUAAACUGCAGCAACUGUGACAUUCUUUCAGUUUCGCUAUUAGAUCUCUAAAUGGACACAAAAAAGUCCCUUCUACAGAGAAACUAAGGAUUAGACCUAUGCAAUUCCUACUGAAUAAAGGACUUCUAUUAGUUUAAGGGUUUUUUCCCCCUGUAUUUCAUAAAAGACUUUUGAUUAAAGUUACCAAAUCAGUUUGACAGUACAAUUUCCCAUGCUGAAUAUGCUGCCCACCUAUCUGGACCAUUACAACAAAAAGCCUGAGCUGCUGUACUACUGUUGGCCCUUGGGCUGCUCUUCACAGAGCAUGUGGGAUCUUUGCCAUCUUUGGUUUCACGUCCAUGUGACAUCUCAGAAGUUUUCUCAGAAUUUUAAGGAUUAUGGUUUGCUUCUUCCUUUGUUUGUUUAAGCAAGACUUCCAAAAAAACAAAUAUAUGGGGGCGUAUUUUAGAGGAGGCAUACUCAAAAACAAAUAAGGAGGAGAAGAAAAGUGUGUUUACACUGUUGCUUCCUACAUUGGCAGUUAUUUUCUUAGGUCACUCCUAGAAAACUUUCAAAACCAAUUGCAGUUACUGUACUUCCUAGUGGUAUCGCCGUGGAACUUCCACAAAGUUAAGGCAGUGGACUGUCACAAAUUAACAUCAAUGUAAUAACUCGAGAGAUUCUGCCACGCUGUUAUCCGAGAUAUGGUCUGAUACACUUGUAAUUACAGGAAAGGCUGAAGGAGAAAUCUUUCAGUGUUUGCAGAUAUGCACGGUGCAGUUUAGAUAGAAAUAGAGGAGGCUGUGAGAAACAUGGGAGAUCUGCCCAGAGAAGGGUGGAAGACCAACGCUGGUAAAACUUUGUGAUGUUACAUUUAAAAUGAUCUGUCGGAAGAAGUGAGUCAGUUAUGUUCCUCAUGGGCUCCUAAGCCAAGCUAAAUUUGAUAUCUGGUCAUAAAUCUUUUAAAAAGACCGCUCUAUCGUGUACUCGCCACUGAGAAUAUGGGAUUUUAUUUUUCCCUAGAACUCUAACGUGAAACUGAUGGCACACCUUGUGUUGGAAUUCUGUGUUGCCUUAUCCCCAAAGAAUCACAGUUCAGAGGUACGUGAGGAAAGCAGUUAGGAUCAAGAAGAAGUAUUCUGGGAAAUAGAAUUAAGUACUGGGGAAGUAGAAUAAAAGAUGUGAAGGAGGUAAGGUAUAGCACGGCAUGCCAAAUACCUGUGUUAAAGACAAACCAGGGGCUUCUGUAAACUCUGGGACGUGGUUCAAGAACUGAAACAGUCAAAUAACUUCAAAUAAAAAAUGCAGCUUUGUCCCCAUCACAAAAUGUAGCUGUCUAGGCCUUACUUUUGCCUCAGAAUCACCAGAGCAGAGAUUUCAGCAGUCCGAAGAGCUGACACUUAGAGGUAGAACACCCCGUGAUACCAGAAUGCAGAAGGAAGGGUCAUUAGUCUGAUCCGACCCAGCAUCGCUGCACUGGGGGCACUGAGGCGACGCUUCAUUUCUCCCAAGUCUUUCCUUCAAGUGCAGUUUGAUUUCAUUUAGAGCUGCGACAUGUUUUUAUUUCUGUGUUAUAGAAAUAUCUGCUUUCCCCAAAAUAACAGCGAUGUAACGUGAGGAGUACCAAUAUUUGCACUUAGAGUGUAAGACUUCCAUGCUGUUAGCAUUGAACGGUUUGGCUGGCUGUGCCAACUUGGCAUAGUGUGUGUGAUCUGUCAGUCAUCCACCAAGCACACAUCGCUGAGGUCCUGAUCCCCACUUACUGAUACGUCUUUUGAGAAAAUCCUGGGCCGUGGAUCCACAUUUCUUAACAUUUUGUUCUCUUCCGUGUUCACCUACAUGGGGAAGAAUUUGAACUGAACAGGUAUUUCCCACACACCCAAGAGGGUAAAUCCGCAGAGCUGCUGUGUGAGGGCCGGGCCGCCAUUUUGGUGGGUCCGUGUGGUAAGCGUGCUCUGGAAAUGCUUCUUGCGUCCGAUUUGCAAGUAAGACAAGCAGUUCUGUGGCGCCCAAGUCAGAAUGGACAGCUUUGGGGACCUGAGAAUCCUUUCAGGGAUCUACAAGUGAUGCUAUAGUCUCUGCUAUGGGCAUUCUCACCCUGCUUGGAGUCAGUGUCCCACAGGCAGGUGCUCUUGAAGUGGGAUCUGCAGCUUUUGCACGCUGCUGCUUUUUGCAUGUGUGCAUUGUAUUAAAGCUCAGGCUUCUGAGAUCAAAUAAAAAAGGAACUGAACUUGAUCUUUCAGCAUCAAGUUUCACUACUCCUAAUUGCCUCUCAGCAGGCCCUUGUAAGAAAAGCACUGAAUAAUACUAAAACUCAAUCAGCUAAUGUAAAGGAACAAGAUGUUUUAUGAUGACUAGACCGAGCACUUAAAGAAACGCACAGGUAUUUCUUUUUAACAUAGCUCUGUUUUUGGAGUUCAUUAUUCCAGCCAUGAUAGAAAUGCAUCUAUUUAGUCCGUGUAUUGCGUUUUUGUAUAUGUGUUUGAAAGUGUCUUCAGAGACAAAUGAGUGUGUGGGAUUCACCGAGCCCUCUGCGUAAAUACAAAUGGUGUUUGAGUCACCUUGUUAAAUACUGGAAUACCACGCUGGCAUGGCAGCGUUUGAGGGGUUGGGACUCUCCAAAAUCCUCACCCAGAAACACUGGGGUUUUUGUUGUUUGCAUGCCAGGCAGGUUUGGUGUGACAGAACAGCUGGGUCAUGCUUUAAGCCUUAUCUGUAAGACAUUUAUUAGAAAUGAAAGCUGAGGCUUACACAGUUUAUUUUCCUCUAGAUAAAAAAAACCAUCAAAUUCCCGCAAGCUGAGAAAUAAAAAUAGAAAACACAAAUUCUCCUAUGUAAUCUAAUACAAUUCAUCCAAAUCAGGGGGUGGAGAAGAACAAGGUGUGCUGUUCCGCUGAGCCACAGGAGGAAUUGCUCACGUGGAACUGAGGUGACACUGCACACAGCACACUGACUAUCAAAGAAAGGAUCGCUUGGAUGCUGUUAAUCAAAAUUGCAUCAGAACCUGUAUUAAUGUCUCAGAUUAAAGCUUAAAUUUCAGCCCGUAGGUGAGUUUCAGAGAAUUCUGGUAAAUCUGUUUUCUAGAAGCAGAAAAGAGUUGACUAACAAACUACCAAAAAUCCUUCUCAGAGUGCUGGCAGCCUCUGAGCUUUGGGUUCACUGUAUUUAUGAGAUGAACACAGAUGGUCAGAAAGCGGUGGGUGAAUCAGUAGUCACAGGUAGAACACCAGUGCUAUAACAAACUCCAGAGUCGGUGUAAAGCUAUUUAAAAAACUGGAAAAAAAUAAGAUUAAAAGAAUUGGACAUUCCUUUGGCAUGCUGGAAGCAGGCUCUGCCAGCCCGGCGUCCUUCAGGUAAAUGACUAAAGAAGUGGUUUAUCCUCCCAAAGCUUGGAAUCGGAUACUUCAAAUCACAGAGGCUUUGACUGAGGUUCCAGCCUCAGUGUUUCUGGUAGGAGAAGGUUAAGUGCUGCUGCCAGGUCUUAAAGCCCAACAUUUUUGUUUCCCUGGGUUGCAGACAACUCACUGACAACUGUGAGCAAAAAAAAUCCCCAACCAAAUCAGUAAGAGGUAUUCCUGUACAUAGCCUCAUUUAAAAUAAACAAACCAAAAACCCACAACACAACUAUUAAAUUCUCAUAACGUGGCAGUGCCUCAGCUCUCUUAAGUUCUCAAGUAGUAAAGGAAACAAUCCAUAUAAGCAGUCCUAAGUCCUGCUUCUUUCUUUAGGUCCUUAAACCAAAUAAUUUACACUCAAAGAAAACGAGAAAAACCUCCAGCUGAAAUGGCCAUACUGAUUCCCGGCCCACUGCUCUCCUGGGCUUUUGUCAGCCUCAGUACAGCUUUGAGGCUGGCUGUGGGGCAGUCGGUGCAGGCUGUUGGGGUGCUCCCAGCCCGCAGCUCUGUUGGCAGCCCUGCAUUUUUCCUCUCCCUGAGCCAUUCAGAGGCUGCUGAGUGCCUCCACCAGCACGGGGCUCUGCAGGAGGGCAGGACACGGUGUAAUCACAGACAGUAACUGUUUGGCUUCCAGCGUCAGGUAAGCGGUACUUGCUGUUACUUCUCUCUGCUUUGUAUUUUCAGUGCUAGUAAGCCAAACUGUACCAGUGCUUACACUCUGCGGCUGACUGCCACUCUCUGGCUGCGCUCAUACUGUUAAAACUCUGACAGGGCAGAUGCAGCUGUCCUGCUUCGGUGGCUAUAGCUUGGGCUGAGCUGAGCCCUGAGCCGUGGCAGGGAUGUCUGCAGAGGACCUGGGUGCAGCUUGGGCCCAUGUGGGGGGCCCCACCCUAGCACCAUUAACUUGCCAGCUCAGUGACACGGAGACAAACUGAAAGCCAAAGACUGCCACUGUGAUUCACUUCUAAAAAUCAAAAUUGGAUGUUAGUGAGAUAUGUAUGUAAAGUAUGGAACACAUCCAACACCAGUGUCCUUUGUUCAGAAGUUCUACAGGGUGAGUUAAAUCCCAGCCAGUCUGUAACAAAACCCCAACGUAUCUCAGUAUAGUUCACAAAGUGCAUGAAUCAUCUGAUCAUUCUGACCAGUAAACUAUGACAAAAGUGUGAAACGCUUAAUUGUUAUUAAUACAAUAAGCACUUGACGUUUAUGAUCUUAUUUUCCUUUUAGUAAAGAUACCGAUCAUUACGUGUAUCAUGCGAUACGGUAACGUACGUAGCAUAUGAUAUACAGCAAAACAUUGCUAUAUCACUUGGCACAGAUUUGCAAAUACUGGCAAGAGUUUGGGUCGCAGGGAUCCUAAACUUAAGGCAUAAUGAGUAGAGAGCCUGGUAUCACCUGCAUUUUGCUGCUUCUAGUUGAUGGAAGUCCCACAGAAGCUCUGGGUGCAGGGCAACUGACCAUAAAAGCUUCUCAGGACUACAGCAAAGAUCACUGAAGGAAGAAUUGAUGUGAAAAAUGGAAACUUGAAAAAAUAGAAAGCAUAUGGCUGCUGAACAGUUGAAAGAAAGCAACGUAACAGUAGAUGGAGGUAAACAUAAAUUAAGCCAACAGGGAGAUUCACAGCAGGUCUCAAACUUCUGCAGUGCUCCAAACUGCUGACUACCUGCAGUCAGAGGCAGCGAACAGCUGGCCGCAGUCGUUCACAAUGAAUCCACGUAAGGUGCUCGAGGCACGAUGCAAAGAAGAGCUGCGGUGAUCAAACACAUCGCCAGACUUCAGCAGGAGCAGGAAGGCUCAUGCAGGAAGAGCACUGACAAGAAUUCUUCUGUGGGAUUUGGACUUGGGGCUUCUUGUUACCUGAUGAAAUCAGGUCUCACAAGCUGGCAAAAGUCCAGGCAGCUUUGAGGGAAGUGGUAGGUAACAGAGCCCUUCAUUCGCAGCCCAACAGUGACAGAAUAUCAAACUGCUAACCACAGAUGCACUGCUGUAAAGAGGUGUACAGUACCAAGUGAAUGGUUGUCCUAUUGCUCCAUGAAAUCAAGGAGACAGGCAGCAUCUUCCAUGUUUGCUGAUACAAAGCAAGGCUGUUGUUAUCGGUAAUAAACCAAACUGGCCAUUGGCUUUUCUAAAAAUGUGAUAUUUCUGAGAAUGUGGCAUUCAGUACUGCAGGCUGCUCUCUGCAUACUACUUCAUGUGUUUCAGGUCUGUGGACUGAAAGCACCACCCCAUCCUGAAAGGGCAAAUGAAGUUGUAGAGGACUCCCUGUUAACUGAUGACCUGCAUCAGACAGGAGCACCACCGUUGUUUUCACUUACCACCUUUUUGAAAUGCUGGAUUGUUUACCUUCAUCUGCAACCUCCUAUCUCGCCUCCAAAGUUGAUACCUAUUGCCACCUGUGCAUACAGCAGCGUUCUUGGCAUCUUGAUGUCAGACAGACCCCUUAUCCUGUGUGAGCACCACCUUCAAGUCAAAAAAAAGUCAGUGAGAUUUUAUCUUCUAUCCUCUUUUCCAGAUAAGCUGAAGCGAAGAGGAUACAGACUUCCAUUCGCAUCACAGAAGAUUCUCUCCUACUGAUUUUAGGAGUCUCACUGUGACCUGUCACCAUGAAUGCUGUGCUUGGCUGAAGGCUCACAAGCUGGCAGUUACAACUAACAAAGGAAAAUCACGUCCCUGUACAGGGAGUUUCUAAUGAGCAGAGUAAUGAGGUCCUAGAAUAGGGUUCCAAAUAGAGCCUAUGGGGAAAAAAAAAAGAUUAGCAUUUAACAACUGAAUGUGAUACGUUUAUAAGGCUCUAUAAUAUAAUAUGGAAGUCUUUAAUGCCAGGUUCCAGACUCGGUGUCACAGUUUCCUGAUAGAUUAAACUUCCACAUACCCCAUUCCCUAUGCUGGCAAAGCUUUCUGAAAGACUGCAAAGGUUCAUCAACCAGUAGUUAACCUAAAAGUGGAAAUUUGGCACUGAUGCCGAAGUGAUGCUUAAUUACAGAAAUACACAGCAGCCCAGAGGGAACCAAAAAGUACACUCAGUAACUGAAUUGUUGAUACAAGACUAGUGGGGGUGGGAGAGGUGUAGUGAUACUCAGGGCUCACUUACACACACAAAUAACUUUGCCAUGUUUCCCUGUUUCAUCUGUUCCUAGAAAAAUCAGUUUCUCGUGUUGCAUGAGAUCUCUUCCUCCACCCCUACAAACCCAGGUUACAGGGUCACCCUUUUCUCCUCCUGUCAUUCAUUUUGCAGCUAGUCCCUGCAGGGCAUUCACACCUCUCCUCCCUGACCUGGAGCUGGGAGGGAGCUUUCUUGCCACCUGACCCUGGGACAUCCCCAGCUCCUCCCUCCUGGGCACAAUAGAUGUCUCUGAAGCAACUAUAAAUAAUGACAAGUUCUCUAGACCCAUUGCUCCUUUCUUCUUGUUGGUUAAUCCGGGUGCAAUUUACAUGUUUACACCUCCAGUGGUUAUGAGUCCCUUCCUCUUCCUGUAAGAGUUCAAGUCUUCCACCUUCUUCCAUUACAGAAGAUUAUCAGAAACAAGGAGGGGCUUGGUUCAAGACAGCAGAUCAUUACUAUAUUCUGAUGCCUUUAAGAAAAGCCAUCCUAGAAGAACGGCCUUCCAGCUGUCCUAUGUAAGGCAGAAGGUCUCGUUCUAAAACCUUCAUUCAUGAGGAACCACAGCAGCAUUUCUGUUGAUUUUGGAAAUGGAUGGAAGACUUGGACAAGGUCAUUACAUCCACGCUCCAUCUUGCCACUUUAACAGUUUUAUCACUUCACAUUAAAUUGUUCAUUAUUAGAGUAAGAUUCGUGCCAGGCAGCUUAGUACCUGAAAGCUUCCAAAACAAAUUCAUUUUUAUAGGCCUCACGUCUGAAAUUUGCUUCCAAAUGAGUCAAAACAGUGACAAAACAAUUCCUGCAAGUUACACCACUGUUACAAACUCAGCAUUGAAGUUAAGCACAAUGGGCCCAUGCACUCAAUUUCUUGUUCAGGCGUGAAUUCAAAUUACCGACUUUGUCCUCAUCUCAGCAGAUAAAAAACCUCAAUCCUUUCAAUCCAUACUGGGGGGGGAUAGUUAGUAUCAAUAGACAAAUUCGCACACUAGCAUUACUUAAAUCACUUUGCACCAGAACUAUCUUGGAAGGUGUUACAAUAAAAUGCUGUUUUGCUAUACUAGUCCAACACUUGACAGUCUUGCUUCUUAUGUGUGAACUACUUUGUUGCUAAUGCUUCAGCUCAUUACAGAGUAACCUAGGAAAAUAGAUUAUUCCUCAGCUCGUCCAUUUUCUUUAGGAAAGGCAUUAGUGAUUUCAUUUUCUUAUACAUUUAGAACUGGACCUUGAAGAAGGCAAUUUGUGGGUCAUAAUCCAUAAACCAGCAGUUUUACAGCAAGUUCACAGUUUGUAAAUACAGCAAAAAGUCUGUUUAUUGCAUUCUAAUGCUGCUUCUGACCAUUAUGUUUGCAGUGGUUUAACCACUGGUAAAAGCAUUGCUCUGGGAGUUUCCCUACAAGUAAGGGAACGAUAAUCCUUAAAUGAGGAAGAUGAUAGAGCUCUUGCUGCCAAACUCUUUUACAAGUAGUCCCCUGUAUCUUUUCACACUUCGAUUCAAAUGUAGAAGUUCACUGACUCACUUCAUAUAAAUUAACACGGGGGCCAAGUUGCUGCUUUACACCAAAUACCGAUCUGCUGCCCAGCAGUGUCCCACAUACAACGAUGUAGUGAAAAUAAAGAUCCUAGGAGGCUGCCAGGUCAAAAGCAAUCUAUUCCAAAGAGACGUACACUCCUUCCCAUUCCAGAUUACUUUUCCCUCUCUCAUUAGAUGCCACCUUCUCUUUACAGAACACGGAAUGCUCAUUUGUUUCUCAGUUGUAUAAUUUCCUUUAGGUUAUAUAUACAUUUCUGUUUAAUUGUAUCAGAAAUGUAACAAAGAUUGUGGCACUUGAGGCUUAUCAUCAGGAACAUAACAGUGACUUAAAAUCAAGCCAUGUUCUCUCUCAAGGGACUUUUCUUCGGCUCUCCUGAAGGAAACUUAGAAAUGUAUAUAUUUCUAUCCCACUAGAACUUGAACUCUUACAUACGUGUGUUUUGCUGUUUAUUCCUAUACAAAGACUGACAUAUCCCUUAAGUUACCUAAUAAUCUAUUUUCUUGCUAUUCUUCCUCCUCUUCCCUCACUUAAUUUUCUCUGCUCUUCAGCAUAAGCAUUAAAUUUCCAUUAGCCCCCCUUUAAAUGUCUCUCCUGCAGUUCUCCAUUCACAAAACACCACAUUUGCCAUUUCAAGAGUCAAAAUAACAAGAGCAGCAUUUGCUGCUACGUGCAAUUAGCUCAAGGUCACUCAAGGACAUGGAAGCAGCAGAAAGUAACAGCCACAAGAAACCAAAUAAAGCUCAGGGAAGGAAGGGGGGGGGGGUCUAACUACAGAACGCCGAUACUUUCUGAUCGUUCACUCAAGUGUUGCUUCUGACACGCCUGCUUUCUUUCAACUUGAAAACAAUCCUAAUUAAAAACAAAAACAAUAAAAUGGUUGUCGGUACCCUGAAGUACCCAUCCGUUACUUCCCAGAAAGGUCACACGGCUGAGAAUUCUCCCAAACGCCGUGUAUGAGUGCAGAGCAGCCUAUCAUUAAAUACUGACGAUGCGAGUUUCCUCAUGGCUGAGAUGUGGCACCUGACACUUUCAAGUAACACUUCAAAACUCAAACGUGGAUGUGGGCUCUGCAGAUCACCAGACGCCCACAAAAUAUCUUAGCUAUGUAUGUUUGAAGGUGCUGUCUAAUUUAAUUUAAAAAAAAAACAAAAGCAUUCUACAACCUGAUACAGUUCUUUGCAACGUUUCCUGCCUCUCUGAGAUCUUGACACAGAUGAAAAACACUGCAAAGCACCACCAAAGCACUUCUGAAAAGUCAAAAGUAUCACUCGAAUCAGCAGGGUUAGCGUGUUUCAUUAAACUUCAGCCAAGUCAAUUUGCUGUUGUUAAAUGUUUGUACCACAACUCUAGCUCUGAACUGCAACUACUUAUCUGGUCAAGCUGACAAGGGAAUUUUGUGCCAAAACUGUUAGGUUUGGAUACUGCCCAAUUAACUGAAGGACCCUACUUCUCUCUGCUGGAGGUUUAGUAAAAGGAGCACCCUUAAGAGAAGCCCAUCCAGAGACGUGUCAGGGUCUUACAGUACUUAUGCUUAAGUUGCAUUUCUGUUGCAAACCAUCGCUGCAAGACCUCCCCCGUUUAGGUAAGCUUGAGCAUCUCCCAGCACUCUACAGAAAAAUCUCGAGUACAAAAACCCCUCCGCACAGAAAUGAUAAAGCCCUGAAUUGGUAAAUGCUUAUAAAAAGCACCUUGGCGAUUCUGUGGUAAAAGUUCAGACACAAC
Molecule: long non-coding RNA, 13327 nt
Filed under: Gallus gallus (chicken)
Lineage: Eukaryota; Metazoa; Chordata; Aves; Galliformes; Phasianidae
Source: RNAcentral